This 438-nucleotide long non-coding RNA is filed under the name Homo sapiens (human). RNAcentral's name for it is "non-protein coding lnc-HIST2H2BF-4:4". The record is from RNAcentral. Lineage: Eukaryota; Metazoa; Chordata; Mammalia; Primates; Hominidae.
CAUUUCUGCUGAUUCAGCUGCUUUGCCCAGCAACCAAGGAACCAGGUCUGCCCAGCCCUUCCAUCCUUCGAGCGGCACUGGCCCAGCAGAGCAGGACACUAGAACACGGUAGCAGUGGCCCAUGGGAAGAGAUGAGGCCUCAAAAAAUGAAUGCAUCUGGAGACCUAGCCUCCUUCUCCUCUUUGUACCAACCCAACUCCGAAACCUCUGUAGGGGCUGACCUGCUGGAAAAGAAUCUUGCUGAGAUACAGAACCUGCGCCAGCGCCUGGAGGAGUCCAUCAGUCUCAAUGACCGCCUGAGGGAGAGGCUGGAGCAUGUGCUUAGCAAUGGUGACCAAGGAAAAGGUACUGCACAGUCCACUGUAGCCCCUCAUUCAUAUACUCAGAGUCACUCUUCUGGCUGUGGCGAGGACAUCCUGUGACAUGAUGCCUAGAGAG